GAGUUUGAUCAUGGCUCAGAACGAACGCUGGCGGCAUGCCUAACACAUGCAAGUCGAACGGGAUCCAGGCUUCGGCCUGGUGAGAGUGGCGGACGGGUGAGUAACGCGUGGGAACCUGCCCAAUGGUCUGGGAUAACCGCGGGAAACUGCGGCUAAUACCGGAUAAGCCCGAGAGGGGAAAGAUUUAUCGCCGAUGGAGGGGCCCGCGUCCGAUUAGGUAGUUGGUGAGGUAACGGCUCACCAAGCCGACGAUCGGUAGCUGGUCUGAGAGGAUGAUCAGCCACACUGGGACUGAGAUACGGCCCAGACUCCUACGGGAGGCAGCAGUGGGGAAUAUUGGACAAUGGGGGCAACCCUGAUCCAGCAAUGCCGCGUGAGUGAUGAAGGCCUUAGGGUUGUAAAGCUCUUUUGGCGGGGACGAUGAUGACGGUACCCGCAGAAUAAGCCCCGGCUAACUUCGUGCCAGCAGCCGCGGUAAC
This 479-nucleotide ribosomal RNA is filed under the name uncultured Alphaproteobacteria bacterium. Its description in RNAcentral is "bacterial SSU rRNA". It matches the Rfam family "Bacterial small subunit ribosomal RNA", at positions 9 to 524 of the family's 1533-position model. The record is from RNAcentral. Lineage: Bacteria; Pseudomonadati; Pseudomonadota; Alphaproteobacteria.